CCUACGGGAGGCAGCAGUGGGGAAUAUUGGACAAUGGGGGGAACCCUGAUCCAGCGACGCCGCGUGAGUGAAGCAGUAUUUCGGUAUGUAAAGCUCUAUCAGCAGGGAAGAAAAUGACGGUACCUGACUAAGAAGCCCCGGCUAACUACGUGCCAGCAGCCGCGGUAAUACGUAGGGGGCAAGCGUUAUCCGGAUUUACUGGGUGUAAAGGGAGCGUAGACGGUGCAGCAAGUCUGAUGUGAAAGGCCCGGGCCCAACCCCGGGAUUGCAUUGGAUACUGUCGAACUGGAGUACUGGAGAGGUAAGCGGAAUUCCUAGUGUAGCGGUGAAAUGCGUAGAUAUUAGGAGGAACACCAGUGGCGAAGGCGGCUUACUGGACUGUAACUGACGCUGAGGCUCGAAAGCGUGGGGAGCAAACAGGAUUAGAUACCCGAGUAGUC
Molecule: ribosomal RNA, 440 nt
Filed under: uncultured bacterium
Lineage: Bacteria
Description: partial 16S ribosomal RNA
Rfam family: Bacterial small subunit ribosomal RNA
Source: RNAcentral